CCUUUGACGUUAGCGGCGGACGGGUGAGUUAACACGUGGGUAACCUACCUAUAAGACUGGGAUAACUUCGGGAAACCGGAGCUAAUACCGGAUAAUAUUUCGAACCGCAUGGUUCGAUAGUGAAAGAUGGUUUUGCUAUCACUUAUAGAUGGACCCGCGCCGUAUUAGCUAGUUGGUAAGGUAACGGCUUACCAAGGCGACGAUACGUAGCCUACCUGAGAGGGUGAUCGGCCACACUGGAACUGAUACACGGUCCAGACUCCUACGGGAGGCAGCAGGC
This 280-nucleotide ribosomal RNA is filed under the name uncultured Staphylococcus sp. RNAcentral's name for it is "partial 16S ribosomal RNA". It matches the Rfam family "Bacterial small subunit ribosomal RNA", at positions 83 to 354 of the family's 1533-position model. Lineage: Bacteria; Bacillati; Bacillota; Bacilli; Caryophanales; Staphylococcaceae. The record is from RNAcentral.